UUCCUCUCAUUAAAAUCAACUUUCUGUGUGACCUUAGAUUUUACUAACUUUCUGUUUCCUUUUUAUUUUCCAAAAACAGCCUCCUGCCUGAUCCUUUGAGGUUUGUUUUGAGGCUGAAAACAUAAGUUUCCUCUCUACUCUGGUGUUAUUUAAGGAAAAGACAGCCUCUCCCCUCCUCUCUCUUUGCUCUGGGAUGGGUGUGGUUUUCAAAGACAAACUUCUGAAUGAUGUAUACGCCUCCGUUUCAGUUCCUGAGUCUGACUAGAGGAGGAGUGUGGAGCAGAGCUUUGCUCAGGACUCUUAAAGUAGAGCUCAGUCUCCACAUGUAUGGACGCUCUGUACGGGCCAGGUGCCCUGCACGCUUGGCUGUGAGGAUCAGCACAGUCUUGGUUUAUUACAACUCGGAGAGUGCGAGUCACCUGGACUUAAUUAACAUUUCCGUAAUGCCUGUCUGGAGAUAAUUUCAAAUAAGCAGUCUUGGGAUGAGCACCAUUUAACAGGGUAAACCCUGUGAUGUGUGGAUCAUACUUGGCUAAAGAUGGUAACAAUUUGCUGGAAAGAGGACAAAUCUUGUCAACAGAAUCUAAUGGCUAAGGUGCGCACACACACAGAAGACCUGGGGUCGUGUAAACAGAAGACACUAUGGCUCCAUUCAAAGUCUGUUUUCUCAAGAGUAUGCGUGAGUCUGGGCAAAUUAUCCCCGUGAGCGGAGUGUGAAACAAGAUCCGUGUGAUACCACAGCAGUGUGGAACGGCGUGUGUCACCAGUACUUACUGGCAGCAUAUUACAUUAGCUGCUGGUUUUCUUCCUCACUUUCUCCUGGUCAUCUCAACAAUGGACCAGCUGGAGGGAUUCCUGGCAGAGUGAUUUGGAAUUAAAUCACAAAAUCACAUUGCCAGGGAUUUCCAACCAGCUGUGAACUGUUUACUCCAUGAAAGUCUCCGUGAGUCGCCCCCGCUUACACUCUGAUGGAUGAAGCCAUCAAAUCCGAAUCGAAGAGAACGGACCAAACCCUUUUUCCCACCAUGUCCCGAGGACUGAAUAAUCUACCCUCAGAAUAAACCAUACGCACUGAAAUAGAAAGCUCAUAUCUGUAGGUUCCAUAUGUUUCACUUUUUGUUCAUUAUAUAAACACUGGAUCUCAUCUUGUGGUUUUGGGGAACUGGAAACAUGAUACUAAGCUACUGUGCCAUACAGACAUGAGGCCCAACAUAAUGUGAAUAUAAAAGGCUGUGGCUUCAACAGCUGAGACCAUCUUUGAAAUGGGUUCUGGAAAUUGUGCCAUUCUGCUUUGUCAAAUAACUGGAUGUGUGAGGAAAAUUAUGCUAAUAGGUUUGUUAAAUAAAGAAU
This is a long non-coding RNA of Carassius auratus (goldfish), 1350 nucleotides long. RefSeq lists it as uncharacterized. The transcript is spliced from 3 exons. The record is from RefSeq and is a predicted model, not a curated record. NCBI's taxonomy places the organism in Eukaryota, Metazoa, Chordata, Actinopteri, Cypriniformes, Cyprinidae.